RNAcentral lists this transfer RNA (72 nucleotides) under Colletotrichum orbiculare MAFF 240422. RNAcentral's name for it is "tRNA-Asp (GTC) (tRNA-Asp-GTC-1-1)". It matches the Rfam family "tRNA". From Rfam's summary of the family: Transfer RNA (tRNA) molecules are approximately 80 nucleotides in length. Their secondary structure includes four short double-helical elements and three loops (D, anti-codon, and T loops). Lineage: Eukaryota; Fungi; Ascomycota; Sordariomycetes; Glomerellales; Glomerellaceae. The record is from RNAcentral.
UCCUCGAUAGUCUAGUGGUGAGGAUGCGAGCUUGUCACGCUCGAGACCGGGGUUCAAUUCCCCGUCGAGGAG